Molecule: ribosomal RNA, 460 nt
Filed under: uncultured bacterium
Lineage: Bacteria
Description: partial 16S ribosomal RNA
Rfam family: Bacterial small subunit ribosomal RNA
Source: RNAcentral
CCUACGGGGGACAGCAGUGAGGAAUAUUGGUCAAUGGGCGAGAGCCUGAACCAGCCAAGUCGCGUGAAGGAUGACGGAUCUAUGGUUUGUAAACUUCUUUUAUAUGGGAAUAAAGUGAGGAACGUGUUCCUUUUUGUAUGUACCAUAUGAAUAAGCAUCGGCUAACUCCGUGCCAGCAGCCGCGGUAAUACGGAGGAUGCGAGCGUUAUCCGGAUUUAUUGGGUUUAAAGGGUGCGUAGGUGGUUAAUUAAGUCAGCGGUGAAAGUUUGUGGCUCAACCAUAAAAUUGCCGUUGAAACUGGUAGACUUGAGUAUAUUUGAGGUAGGCGGAAUGCGUGGUGUAGCGGUGAAAUGCAUAGAUAUCACGCAGAACUCCGAUUGCGAAGGCAGCUUACUAAACUAUAACUGACACUGAAGCACGAAAGCGUGGGGAUCAAACAGGAUUAGAUACCCCUGUAGUC